This 386-nucleotide ribosomal RNA is filed under the name uncultured bacterium. RNAcentral describes it as "bacterial SSU rRNA". It matches the Rfam family "Bacterial small subunit ribosomal RNA", at positions 28 to 417 of the family's 1533-position model. The record is from RNAcentral.
GACGAACGCUGGCGGCGUGCUUAACACAUGCAAGUCGAGCGGUAAGGCCCUUCGGGUACGACGAGCGGCGAACGGGUGAGUAACACGUAGGUGACCUGCCUCUAGCUCUGGGAUAAGCCUGGGAAACUGGGUCUAAUACCGGAUAUGACUCCACGGCGCAUGUUGUGGGGUGGAAAGCCUUGUGUGGCUAGAGAUGGGCCCGCGGCCUAUCAGCUUGUUGGUGGGGUGAUGGCCUACCAAGGCGACGACGGGUAGCCGGCCUGAGAGGGCGACCGGCCACACUGGGACUGAGACACGGCCCAGACUCCUACGGGAGGCAGCAGUGGGGAAUCUUGCGCAAUGGGCGAAAGCCUGACGCAGCGACGCCGCGUGAGGGAUGACGGCCU